RNAcentral lists this ribosomal RNA (1343 nucleotides) under uncultured bacterium. RNAcentral describes it as "16S ribosomal RNA". It matches the Rfam family "Bacterial small subunit ribosomal RNA", at positions 28 to 1378 of the family's 1533-position model. The record is from RNAcentral.
GACGAACGCUGGCGGCGUGCUUAACACAUGCAAGUCGAACGGAAAGGCCCUGCUUUUGUGGGGUGCUCGAGUGGCGAACGGGUGAGUAACACGUGAGUAACCUGCCCUUGACUUUGGGAUAACUUCAGGAAACUGGGGCUAAUACCGGAUAGGAGCUCCUGCUGCAUGGUGGGGGUUGGAAAGUUUCGGCGGUUGGGGAUGGACUCGCGGCUUAUCAGCUUGUUGGUGGGGUAGUGGCUUACCAAGGCUUUGACGGGUAGCCGGCCUGAGAGGGUGACCGGCCACAUUGGGACUGAGAUACGGCCCAGACCCCUACGGGAGGCAGCAGUGGGGAAUAUUGCACAAUGGGCGGAAGCCUGAUGCAGCAACGCCGCGUGCGGGAUGACGGCCUUCGGGUUGUAAACCGCUUUCGCCUGUGACGAAGCGUGAGUGACGGUAAUGGGUAAAGAAGCACCGGCUAACUACGUGCCAGCAGCCGCGGUGAUACGUANGGUGCGAGCGUUGUCCGGAUUUAUUGGGCGUAAAGGGCUCGUAGGUGGUUGAUCGCGUCGGAAGUGUAAUCUUGGGGCUUAACCCUGAGCGUGCUUUCGAUACGGGUUGACUUGAGGAAGGUAGGGGAGAAUGGAAUUCCUGGUGGAGCGGUGGAAUGCGCAGAUAUCAGGAGGAACACCAGUGGCGAAGGCGGUUCUCUGGGCCUUUCCUGACGCUGAGGAGCGAAAGCGUGGGGAGCGAACAGGCUUAGAUACCCUGGUAGUCCACGCUGUAAACGGUGGGUACUAGGUGUGGGGUCCAUUCCACGGGUUCCGUGCCGUAGCUAACGCUUUAAGUACCCCGCCUGGGGAGUACGGCCGCAAGGCUAAAACUCAAAGGAAUUGACGGGGCCCCGCACAAGCGGCGGAGCAUGCGGAUUAAUUCGAUGCAACGCGUAGAACCUUACCUGGGUUUGACAUGGAUCGGGAGCGCUCAGAGAUGGGUGUGCCUCUUUUGGGGUCGGUUCACAGGUGGUGCAUGGCUGUCGUCAGCUCGUGUCGUGAGAUGUUGGGUUAAGUCCCGCAACGAGCGCAACCCUUGUUCACUGUUGCCAGCACGUUAUGGUGGGGACUCAGUGGAGACCGCCGGGGUCAACUCGGAGGAAGGUGGGGAUGACGUCAAGUCAUCAUGCCCCUUAUGUCCAGGGCUUCACGCAUGCUACAAUGGCUGGUACAGAGAGUGGCGAGCCUGUGAGGGUGAGCGAAUCUCGGAAAGCCGGUCUCAGUUCGGAUUGGGGUCUGCAACUCGACCUCAUGAAGUCGGAGUCGCUAGUAAUCGCAGAUCAGCAACGCUGCGGUGAAUACGUUCCCGGG